This 497-nucleotide ribosomal RNA is filed under the name uncultured bacterium. RNAcentral's name for it is "partial 16S ribosomal RNA". It matches the Rfam family "Bacterial small subunit ribosomal RNA", at positions 28 to 507 of the family's 1533-position model. The record is from RNAcentral.
GAUGAACGCUGGCGGCGUGCCUAAUACAUGCAAGUCGAGCGAGCAGAUGAGGAGCUUGCUCCUCUGACGUUAGCGGCGGACGGGUGAGUAACACGUGGAUAACCUACCUAUAAGACUGGGAUAACUUCGGGAAACCGGAGCUAAUACCGGAUAAUAUAUUGAACCGCAUGGUUCAAUAGUGAAAGACGGUUUUGCUGUCACUUAUAGAUGGAUCCGCGCCGCAUUAGCUAGUUGGUAAGGUAACGGCUUACCAAGGCAACGAUGCGUAGCCGACCUGAGAGGGUGAUCGGCCACACUGGAACUGAGACACGGUCCAGACUCCUACGGGAGGCAGCAGUAGGGAAUCUGCCGCAAUGGGCGAAAGCCUGACGGAGCAACGCCGCGUGAGUGAUGAAGGUCUUCGGAUCGUAAAACUCUGUUAUUAGGGAAGAACAAAUGUGUAAGUAACUAUGCACGUCUUGACGGUACCUAAUCAGAAAGCCACGGCUAACUACGUG